UCCGAAUGUGCGAAUAUAAAACCAACUUUACCCAAGUUGCUAAAACAUGGAAAACACAAACACACUAUCACAGCUUUUGUUGCUACUAGCUGCUUCUUCACUCAGCAUGUUAAGACGCACAUGAAUUAGUGAUUAUUUCUCAUGCCAUAAAUUGCUUUUAAUAUUUGUCUGUUUUGUAGUAAUCAAGAGAAGUGUUAUCAUCGCUGAAGAAAUGGCAGAUUUUAAUCCCCAGACACCGAGCAGGUCAAGCCCUGAAGAAAUAACACCAUAGACAUCAUCUUCUGACUGAACUAGCAAGGAGCUGUUGGAGUCAAUGAGAAAGCUAGUGGAAUGUAAACUUGAGUAAACGGCACUAUUGUAAUGAUAAUUUCUAAGUUUACUGAGCGACGUAAACUGCUGUCAUCCACGUCACAUCAUUGCUCUAACCAACAUUACCUGAAGAAUCCUUUCAGCGUAGCAGAUAUUCACAAGCGUCUGGAGCCAACAUAAAAUGUAAGUAAAGCAAAACAUUUUUUUUUUUUGUUUUUUUCUUAUUUGAUUUUGUAAGGAUAUCUUAAUGAAGAAAACGUAGGGCAACAAUGUUAAUGUUAAUGUUAAUGUUACCUACGUUUUUUCCCCGUCAUCAUUAUAUAAGUGUGUUGCUGCUUUUUGUUAAGCACACUGAUCUGAGAAAUUUGAUUUUAUUCCUACAUUCAUGUGAAUAAACUAGCAGUAGCUUCAUCUAUGAUUAGUAAACCUUUACAAUCUUUCUUUACUUGCAGGCUGAACUGGAUACUUACUGAAGAGUGAGCUUAAACACUUAAAGUAACUUCAGUUGAGUUUAAAUGCUAGUUGCGUGAUGUUUCCUCAGAUAACUGCACACAGACCUGACUUUCUCUUUUCUACAUCCACUGUUGGUUAUACACUUGUGUGGUUUUGGUUUUUUAGGUUUGUACAAAGUUACACCAUAUCACUGAAAACGGCACGCGUCAACAAGAUUUCAGAGACUCUGCGUGACAUUUUAAAUGUUUAUGAUCUUCAGGGUGUGCAUGAUGUCACCAUGAAACGCACCAUAGCCCUCUGUGCUCCUCGGUGUAUCUGUGAGAGGAGGACCCACAAUUCUUCAAGACUUGAAAUGUAGGUAUUCAAUGCAUUAAGAGAAUUGCUAGUAUCGGUGAAUGUAACUGUCUACUUUUAGUCUACUGAGUGAAACUUACAGUUGGACCCUCUCUGCUUAUUUCAGGAGGCGUUGGGAGAGCAGACAUCACUGAUUCUGUCAUUGUGGUCAACGAAACCACAAGUCCUUCAAGCACUGCAGUUGUGAUAGAAGAUGAUCUUCAGUUUUAUAAUAAAAGACUAAUCUUCAAAAAAAUCUUCAAUUGUACAGCUGGAGGUUUAUUUUAUUUAAUUUUUUUAGGUGUUGUUGUUGUUUUUUUGUCUUUUGAGUUAGUUUUUUUUUUAUGUAAUGAAGUCCUGUAGAGGUGCCGAUCCUGUUCCUGGAGAUCUUCCUGCCUGCAGAGUUCAGCUAAGUUAUUCAGCUAAUUAUUUUCCUAAGUACAACAGCAAAACUUUUCCAUUUACGAAUGUAUUUAAAACAUUAAGUUUGUCUAUAUUUAUUCAAUUUUACACUCUGUGUAUAAGUAAAUACUAGUGUAUAAUUUUUCAAAAUGUGGUAAAUAUUUACAAUAACUGUAUAACAACUGCUGUUAUUUGAUGUAAUAUAGUUUUGUAAUUGUUUUGUAAAUAAAAUGUUUUCAUGCCAACCAGAUCAACUGAGUUCUUUUCAAAUGAA
This is a long non-coding RNA of Megalobrama amblycephala (Wuchang bream), 1771 nucleotides long. RefSeq lists it as uncharacterized. The transcript has 3 exons. NCBI's taxonomy places the organism in Eukaryota, Metazoa, Chordata, Actinopteri, Cypriniformes, Xenocyprididae. The record is from RefSeq and is a predicted model, not a curated record.